UGUGGAGGAGGACGCCGAAGGUGGGGCUAAUGACUGGGGUGAAGUCGUAAAAGGUAGCCGUACCGGAAGGUGCGGCUGGAUCACCUCCUAACAGGGAGACAACAAAAUGUUUAAUAUUAUUAUUUUGUCACCUUAGGUCGAUCGGUAUCUCACGUUCUUAAUUUAUUAAGGAUUUCAUUUCCUAAGUUUUUCUAGGUCACACCCAUUAUUUUCCCUGGGCCAUUAGCUCAGGUGGUUAGAGCGCACCCCUGAUAAGGGUGAGGUCCCUGGUUCAAGUCCAGGAUGGCCCAUAUCUCUAUGUUGGGGGUAUAGCUCAGUUGGUAGAGCGCCUGCUUUGCAAGCAGGAUGUCAGCGGUUCGAGUCCGCUUACCUCCACUGAUUACCACCUCUUUCAUAAUCUGUAGAAAGGGAAUUUUUUGAGUCGUGUCCAAAUUCUGAAAGAAUCUAGCUUCCUAAUGAAAUCAUUAAGAUGCUGGACUCAUUGAAUUAAUUUCAUUGUUUUCAGAGAACCUUGACAACUGCAUAGAUUAUUUUUUAAAGACAAUAAGCAUCUUUAAUGAUGCAGAUUUAUUAUUUGUGCGAAUGCAUUAAUAACAAUUCUAUUAAGCUGAUGCUUCAAUUUUGAAGUUAUUGGUCAAGCUACAA
Molecule: unclassified non-coding RNA, 645 nt
Filed under: uncultured Prochlorococcus sp.
Lineage: Bacteria; Bacillati; Cyanobacteriota; Cyanophyceae; Synechococcales; Prochlorococcaceae
Description: partial 16S-23S ribosomal RNA intergenic spacer; may also contain 16S ribosomal RNA and 23S ribosomal RNA
Rfam family: tRNA (bases 303-375)
Source: RNAcentral